This is a long non-coding RNA of Rhododendron vialii, 840 nucleotides long. RefSeq lists it as uncharacterized. The record is from RefSeq and is a predicted model, not a curated record. NCBI's taxonomy places the organism in Eukaryota, Viridiplantae, Streptophyta, Magnoliopsida, Ericales, Ericaceae. The transcript has 2 exons.
UGUUUAACUUUGAUCUACCACGACCUAAACUUCCUUUCAUUUUAUCUUCUGUUUUCAAAAUACGGAACUUGUGCAUCUAGACAAUGUAAUGGUUCUUUACAAUUCCGAUUCCAAUAAUGGGUUUGAUAUUAUUGCAAAAGCUGCUAUGGAAGCAGGACAAUUGGAAGCUGAGAGUUCAUCAAGAAACAACCGAGAUCUAAUCAAUGCCGCACUUUUAUUCGAUUUUGAUUCCAAAGAUGAGUUUGAUAUUUUGGCCGGCCGAGUUCAUCCAUCUCUGUUGUCACUUUUAUUUUCCUCUGCACAAAUUCUUAUACAGGAUUGACGUGUGAAAUAAGUGGUCUGGUAUGGGCAGUGGGCACACUAGAAAAUCUUACCAAUUGGAGGGAUGUGUGUCCUUCCCUUUCAGUUAUUACAGGCACAAUCUACUUUUUGAUCAGCUGUACCAACCAAAGAAAGCUCCCAAUCCAAAACUUUGAUCUGGGUCUGUGCUGUGCAGGGAUUGUGGGCCCGUCCGGGGCCCGGAGAUGUUAUCAAGUGGUUCAAUCUUUUAAGCUUGUCGAGUAGGUCAUCAAGACCUUCACGACGAGCUUAAGCAAGUGAACUUCCCGAUUCCAUCACCAGACCCGAGACAAACUCAAAAUUGCCGCUCAACACGGGUUCUGUUCGCAAGCACACAACACAUUCCCCCAUAUCAAAGCCCGGCAGUAUCACAGUCAUUUCUCUGUCAUUCUUCUUGGUCAAGGAUUCCAUUAAGUUUAAGAAAAUCCUAUCCUUGGUUCAUUAAGACAUACCACAUCAAUUUAACUUCCCCUCUUUUACUAAUUGAGGCUUCAAACGAGA